UGCCUUCGGGAACUCAGACACAGGUGCUGCAUGGCUGUCGUCAGCUCGUGUCGUGAGAUGUUGGGUUAAGUCCCGUAACGAGAGCAACCCUUGUCCUUAGUUACCGGCACCUCGGGUGGGCACUCUAAGGAGACUGCCGGUGACAAACCGGAGGAAGGUGGGGAUGACGUCCAGUCAUCAUGGCCCUUACGGCCAGGGCUACACACGUGCUACAAUGGUCGGUACAAAGGGUUGCCAAGCCGCGAGGUGGAGCUAAUCCCAUAAAACCGAUCGUAGUCCGGAUCGCAGUCUGCAACUCGACUGCGUGAAGUCGGAAUCGCUAGUAAUCGUGAAUCAGAAUGUCACGGUGAAUACGUUCCCGGGCCUUGUACACACCGCCCGUCACACCAUGGGAGUGGGUUGCUC
RNAcentral lists this ribosomal RNA (405 nucleotides) under uncultured Pseudomonas sp. RNAcentral describes it as "bacterial SSU rRNA". It matches the Rfam family "Bacterial small subunit ribosomal RNA", at positions 1014 to 1420 of the family's 1533-position model. The record is from RNAcentral. Lineage: Bacteria; Pseudomonadati; Pseudomonadota; Gammaproteobacteria; Pseudomonadales; Pseudomonadaceae.